This 495-nucleotide ribosomal RNA is filed under the name uncultured bacterium. RNAcentral's name for it is "partial 16S ribosomal RNA". It matches the Rfam family "Bacterial small subunit ribosomal RNA", at positions 28 to 507 of the family's 1533-position model. The record is from RNAcentral.
GACGAACGCUGGCGGCGUGCCUAAUACAUGCAAGUAGAACGCUGAAGGAGGAGCUUGCUUCUCCGGAUGAGUUGCGAACGGGUGAGUAACGCGUAGGUAACCUGCCUGGUAGCGGGGGAUAACUAUUGGAAACGAUAGCUAAUACCGCAUAAGAGUAGAUGUCGCAUGACAUUUGCUUAAAAGGUGCAACUGCACCACUACCAGAUGGACCUGCGUUGUAUUAGCUAGUUGGUGAGGUAACGGCUCACCAAGGCAACGAUACAUAGCCGACCUGAGAGGGUGAUCGGCCACACUGGGACUGAGACACGGCCCAGACUCCUACGGGAGGCAGCAGUAGGGAAUCUUCGGCAAUGGACGGAAGUCUGGCCGAGCAACGCCGCGUGAGUGAAGAAGGUUUUCGGAUCGUAAAGCUCUGUUGUAAGAGAAGAACGAGUGUGAGAGUGGAAAGUUCACACUGUGACGGUAUCUUACCAGAAAGGGACGGCUAACUACGUG